GAUGAAGAACGUAGCGAAAUGCGAUAAGUAAUGUGAAUUGCAGAAUUCAGUGAAUCAUCGAAUCUUUGAACGCACAUUGCGCCCGCCAGUAUUCUGGCGGGCAUGCCUGUUCGAGCGUCAUUUCAACCAUCAAGCCCCAGGCUUGUGUUGGGGACCUGCGGCUGCCGCAGGCCCUGAAAACCAGUGGCGGGCUCGCUGUCACACCGGGCGUAGUAGAUUUUAUCUCGCUCAGGGCGUGCUGCGGGUUCCGGCCGUUAAAAAGCCUUUUUUACCCAAGGUUGACCUCGGAUCAGGUAGGAAGACCCGCUGAACUUAAGCAUAUCAAUAAGCGGAGCA
RNAcentral lists this unclassified non-coding RNA (336 nucleotides) under soil metagenome. RNAcentral's name for it is "partial contains 5.8S ribosomal RNA, internal transcribed spacer 2, and large subunit ribosomal RNA". The stretch from base 1 to 120 matches the Rfam family "5.8S ribosomal RNA", at positions 35 to 154 of the family's 154-position model. The record is from RNAcentral.